UGUGGGUCGUCGUCCGGUUGCCGUCGGUCUGGGAGACUUGACACAUCGAAAUGUCUUUUCUGUGGAAUCGUGUUUGUGAAUACAAUCCAGUUUUCACGGGUUUAAUAAGGACGGGCAGAAUGUGGAACAGUGUUAGCGUCGCCGAGAAAAUCCCAACAGUGAAACACGACAGAGCUGCACAGUGUUUUACUGUAAGCUUGAACACAGCUGGCACUCAUGACUACGCCACCCUGCGGUACAAUCUAACCGGCGACGGAGAAGUAAAUCUAAUGUCAACCAAUGUUCCUGAGUCAUUCCGGGCCCAAGGCCGCCAUGGACUUUGUUGUGGAAGAAAAGUUGAAGGCUCACAUUUCUUGUUGAGUGAUGCAGAGGCACACCAGAGCACCUCUUAAUUCCGUGAUCCUAUCACAUCAGACCGAUCCCAGUAGGUAUCACAGAGAUGGUGUUUA
Alosa alosa (allis shad) is the source of this 449-nucleotide long non-coding RNA. RefSeq lists it as uncharacterized. The transcript is spliced from 4 exons. The record is from RefSeq and is a predicted model, not a curated record. Lineage: Eukaryota; Metazoa; Chordata; Actinopteri; Clupeiformes; Clupeidae.